Long non-coding RNA from Drosophila montana, 396 nucleotides. RefSeq lists it as uncharacterized. NCBI's taxonomy places the organism in Eukaryota, Metazoa, Arthropoda, Insecta, Diptera, Drosophilidae. The record is from RefSeq and is a predicted model, not a curated record. The transcript is spliced from 2 exons.
AAAAAAUAUUAAGUGCUCACUUUGUCCAUAGCGUGUCCAGUGCAUUGUCAGCUGUGCUUGUACCGCAACCAAAACUUCGACAUGCACACUUCCACGCACACGCACACACACAAGAAGAAGCAUGCCAGCACACAGCAAUUACAUUUGCAGGUCGCUUGCUCGAUACGCGGAAGACAAAGGGCGGAAGUAGCCAACAAGUCCGUGUCCAAUGCCUCUGGCCUGUAAUAAUCGACUGGAAUAAAUAAUAAUUUUAGAUAGAUAGCAAAGCCUGCGGCGUUGCCUUAUUUAAAUAAAUAAUAUAUGCAUAUUCUAUGUAAGAUUCUGAAUGUUAAUUCUAAGUUCAAACCAAUGUCAAGGUUCACAUUAAAAGAAGAAAACUUGUUCUAGUCAAAAGAA